UCUAGAGAUUACUCCUACGGGAGGCAGCAGUGGGGAAUAUUGGACAAUGGGCGAAAGCCUGAUCCAGCCAUGCCGCGUGUGUGAAGAAGGUCUUCGGAUUGUAAAGCACUUUAAGUUGGGAGGAAGGGCAGUAAGCUAAUACCUUGCUGUUUUGACGUUACCGACAGAAUAAGCACCGGCUAACUCUGUGCCAGCAGCCGCGGUAAUAAUCGUCGAC
RNAcentral lists this ribosomal RNA (217 nucleotides) under uncultured Pseudomonas sp. Its description in RNAcentral is "partial 16S ribosomal RNA". It matches the Rfam family "Bacterial small subunit ribosomal RNA", at positions 325 to 532 of the family's 1533-position model. Lineage: Bacteria; Pseudomonadati; Pseudomonadota; Gammaproteobacteria; Pseudomonadales; Pseudomonadaceae. The record is from RNAcentral.